Molecule: ribosomal RNA, 255 nt
Filed under: uncultured bacterium
Lineage: Bacteria
Description: partial 16S ribosomal RNA
Rfam family: Bacterial small subunit ribosomal RNA
Source: RNAcentral
UACGGAGGGUGCGAGCGUUGUCCGGAAUCAUUGGGCGUAAAGGGCGCGUAGGUGGCUUCUUAAGCGUGCGGUGAAAGCCUGGGGCUCAACCCCGGGUCGGCCGUGCGAACUGGGGGGCUGGAGCACUGUAGAGGCAGGCGGAAUUCCGGGUGUAGCGGUGGAAUGCGUAGAGAUCCGGAAGAACACCGGUGGCGAAGGCGGCCUGCUGGGCAGUUGCUGACACUGAGGCGCGACAGCGUGGGGGAGCAAACAGGG